AAUAGAUACCCUGGUAGUCCAUGCCGUAAACGUUGGGCACUAGGUGUGGGGGGACAUUCCACGUUUUCCGCGCCGUAGCUAACGCAUUAAGUGCCCCGCCUGGGGAGUACGGCCGCAAGGCUAAAACUCAAAGGAAUUGACGGGGGCCCGCACAAGCGGCGGAGCAUGCGGAUUAAUUCGAUGCAACGCGAAGAACCUUACCAAGGCUUGACAUGUGCCAGACCGCCUCAGAGAUGGGGUUUCCCUUCGGGGCUGGUUCACAGGUGGUGCAUGGUUGUCGUCAGCUCGUGUCGUGAGAUGUUGGGUUAAGUCCCGCAACGAGCGCAACCCUCGUUCCAUGUUGCCAGCACGUAGUGGUGGGGACUCAUGGGAGACUGCCGGGGUCAACUCGGAGGAAGGUGGGGAUGACGUCAAAUCAUCAUGCCCCUUAUGUCUUGGGCUUCACGCAUGCUACAAUGGCCGGUACAAUGGGUUGCGAUACUGUGAGGUGGAGCUAAUCCCGUAAAAGCCGGUCUCAGUUCGGAUUGGGGUCUGCAAGUCCCG
Molecule: ribosomal RNA, 543 nt
Filed under: uncultured bacterium
Lineage: Bacteria
Description: bacterial SSU rRNA
Rfam family: Bacterial small subunit ribosomal RNA
Source: RNAcentral